RNAcentral lists this long non-coding RNA (853 nucleotides) under Homo sapiens (human). RNAcentral describes it as "non-protein coding SNHG7:8". Lineage: Eukaryota; Metazoa; Chordata; Mammalia; Primates; Hominidae. The record is from RNAcentral.
CUGCCGUGGCGGGUGGGCCGCCUGACUUCUCCUCCCGGCCAGUUCUCGAGCGCCUCACCGGGCCUCGCCCUGCAGCCUCGCUCUCGCUGGCGCUGCGCGGCCUAGGGGACUGGGCUGCUGGCCUCCGGGUGCGGGGUGGGGGCAGGCUCCGACCUGGGGCGUCCUGGCCGCGCGAGCCGCGGGAUGGGGGCCCGGGCCGCGGAGGAGGCGCCGCUGGUGUGUCCCUUGGUGGAGAGGGCGCUGCCGGCCCUGCGCGGUUUCCAGCCAGGAAGCUUCGGGAAGCCUGGACGUCUGCUCACUGGAGAUGACACGUGCGUGGGGUGUUGGCAUUCUUGUUAUUUAACACGGGAAGGAGGUGACUUCGCCUGUGAUGGACUUCCAGUGUGAGCACUGGCCAGAGUGACCAGGCUGACCAGCACCAGCCCUGAUCCAGAUGCAGAGGCCAGGAUGUGGGCCCAGCCCUGUGCCAGGAGGCUGGCUGGAAUAAAGGUACAGAUAGAGGCCUCACCCCCUCUGGGACCACUGGCACUCAGGGUGUUUGCAGCCUCAGAGCCCACCUGCCCCCAGGGCCACAGCUGCAUCUCCUGCCCUGCUGUCAUUACAGGGAUGGGCAGGCUGGCAUGGGGGCAGCCGCUGCCCCUGCCUGGGUGUUGCUGUGUAUUCCUGCCGGCCAGGGGCCACUGCCAGGACCACGCCUCCCUUUUCAUAUCCCGAUUCUUAAGUUCUGCUAUUGUGGUAUUCUGGUGGAGAAAAAAGAACCGCGUGGCUGUUUUUGAACUGCCUGGAACCUAAGACCCUGAAUUCUUUUCCCCCCCAAGGGGAAAAUCUAUAUGGAAAACAUUUAUUUUAAAAU